UACGUAGGGGCCGAGCGUUGUCCGGAGUUACUGGGCGUAAAGCGCGCGCAGGCGGCUCGUCAAGCCUGACGUGAAAGCCCCCGGCUCAACCGGGGAGGGUCGUCGGGGACUGGCGGGCUUGAGGUUGGCAGGGGUUGGUGGAAUUCCCGGUGUAGUGGUGAAAUGCGUAGAGAUCGGGAGGAACACCCGUGGCGAAGGCGGCCAACCGGGCCGGACCUGACGCUGAGGCGCGAAGGCGUGGGGAGCGAACGGG
Molecule: ribosomal RNA, 253 nt
Filed under: uncultured bacterium
Lineage: Bacteria
Description: partial 16S ribosomal RNA
Rfam family: Bacterial small subunit ribosomal RNA
Source: RNAcentral